AUGGGUGAUAUUGAGAAAGGCAAGAGGAUUUGUACUGAGAAGUAUGCCCAGUGCUACACCGUGGAAAACAAAGGCAAGGACAAAACGAGGCCUAAUCUCCACCGUCCAGGCCAUUGGAUUCUCUUUAACAGAUGCCAGUAAGAACAAACGCAUCACCUGGGGAGAGGAUACCCUGAUGGAGCAUUUGGAGAAUCCCUAGAAGUACAUCUCUGGAACAAAAAUGAUCUUUGCCCACAUUAAGAAGAAGGCAGAAAGGGCAGACUUGAUAGCUUAUCUCAAAAAAGCUACUAAUG
Molecule: long non-coding RNA, 293 nt
Filed under: Homo sapiens (human)
Lineage: Eukaryota; Metazoa; Chordata; Mammalia; Primates; Hominidae
Description: non-protein coding lnc-POLD3-5:1
Source: RNAcentral